Molecule: ribosomal RNA, 253 nt
Filed under: uncultured bacterium
Lineage: Bacteria
Description: partial 16S ribosomal RNA
Rfam family: Bacterial small subunit ribosomal RNA
Source: RNAcentral
UACAUGGGGUGCAAACGUUGCUCGGAAUUAUUGGGCGUAAAGCGCGCGUAGGCGGUUACUUAAGUCGGAUGUGAAAGCCCUCGGCUUAACUGAGGAAGUGCACCCGAAACUGAGUAGCUAGAGUACGAAAGAGGGUCGCGGAAUUCCCGGUGUAGAGGUGAAAUUCGCAGAUAUCAGGAGGAACACCGGUGGCGAAGGCGGUUCUCUGGGCAUGACCUGACGCUGAGGAGCGAAAGUGUGGGGAGCGAACAGG